UGUCGUCAGCUCGUGUCGUGAGAUGUCGGGUUAAGUCCCUUAACGAGCGCAACCCUUGUCGCUAGUUGCCAGCGAGUCAUGUCGGGGACUCUAGCGAGACUGCCGGUGUCAAACCGGAGGAAGGUGGGGAUGACGUCAAGUCAGCAUGGCCCUUAUGUCCUGGGAUGCAAACGUGCUACAAUGGCCUGUACAGAGCGACGCGAUACCGCGAGGUGGAGCAAAUCGCAAAAAGCAGGCCCCAGUUCGGAUUACAGUCUGCAACUCGACUGUAUGAAGUUGGAAUCGCUAGUAAUCGCGGAUCA
RNAcentral lists this ribosomal RNA (302 nucleotides) under uncultured alveolate. RNAcentral's name for it is "partial Bacterial small subunit ribosomal RNA". It matches the Rfam family "Bacterial small subunit ribosomal RNA", at positions 1050 to 1351 of the family's 1533-position model. The record is from RNAcentral.